This 446-nucleotide ribosomal RNA is filed under the name uncultured organism. RNAcentral describes it as "partial 16S ribosomal RNA". It matches the Rfam family "Bacterial small subunit ribosomal RNA", at positions 335 to 797 of the family's 1533-position model. The record is from RNAcentral.
ACUCCUACGGGAGGCAGCAGUGGGGAAUAUUGGACAAUGGGCGCAAGCCUGAUCCAGCCAUGCCGCGUGAGUGAUGAAGGCCCUAGGGUUGUAAAGCUCUUUCACCGGUGAAGAUAAUGACGGUAACCGGAGAAGAAGCCCCGGCUAACUUCGUGCCAGCAGCCGCGGUAAUACGAAGGGGGCUAGCGUUGUUCGGAUUUACUGGGCGUAAAGCGCACGUAGGCGGACUAUUAAGUCAGGGGUGAAAUCCCGGGGCUCAACCCCGGAACUGCCUUUGAUACUGGUAGUCUUGAGUUCGAGAGAGGUGAGUGGAAUUCCGAGUGUAGAGGUGAAAUUCGUAGAUAUUCGGAGGAACACCAGUGGCGAAGGCGGCUCACUGGCUCGAUACUGACGCUGAGGUGCGAAAGCGUGGGGAGCAAACAGGAUUAGAAACCCCAGUAGUCCCA